RNAcentral lists this ribosomal RNA (632 nucleotides) under uncultured bacterium. RNAcentral's name for it is "bacterial SSU rRNA". It matches the Rfam family "Bacterial small subunit ribosomal RNA", at positions 250 to 882 of the family's 1533-position model. The record is from RNAcentral.
UGGCGGGGUAACGGCCCACCAAGGCUACGAUCAGUAGGGGUUCUGAGAGGAAGGUCCCCCACAUUGGAACUGAGACACGGUCCAAACUCCUACGGGAGGCAGCAGUGAGGAAUAUUGGUCAAUGGACGAGAGUCUGAACCAGCCAAGUAGCGUGCAGGAAGACGGCCCUAUGGGUUGUAAACUGCUUUUAUAAGGGAAUAAAGUGAGUCUCGUGAGACUUUUUGCAUGUACCUUAUGAAUAAGGACCGGCUAAUUCCGUGCCAGCAGCCGCGGUAAUACGGAAGGUCCGGGCGUUAUCCGGAUUUAUUGGGUUUAAAGGGAGCGUAGGCCGGAGAUUAAGCGUGUUGUGAAAUGUAGAUGCUCAACAUCUGCACUGCAGCGCGAACUGGUUUCCUUGAGUACGCACAAAGUGGGCGGAAUUCGUGGUGUAGCGGUGAAAUGCUUAGAUAUCACGAAGAACUCCGAUUGCGAAGGCAGCUCACUGGAGCGCAACUGACGCUGAAGCUCGAAAGUGCGGGUAUCGAACAGGAUUAGAUACCCUGGUAGUCCGCACGGUAAACGAUGGAUGCCCGCUGUUGGUCUGAAUAGGUCAGCGGCCAAGCGAAAGCAUUAAGCAUCCCACCUGGGGAGUA